RNAcentral lists this long non-coding RNA (1261 nucleotides) under Lepidothrix coronata (blue-crowned manakin). Its description in RNAcentral is "lncRNA (ENSLCOG00000005037.1)". The record is from RNAcentral. Lineage: Eukaryota; Metazoa; Chordata; Aves; Passeriformes; Pipridae.
UUAUGAACUUGAAGAGAAACAUUUUAAUUAAAAAUAUUUUCAGAUAAAUAGAAUUUUUUUAUAUUUUAAUUGUGAUCAUGCAAUGCAAGUUAGCAAAAAGUAAUAAAAAUUCUUGCUAAAUAUCUAUGGCUUUACUGAGCAAAGGUGAACAUAACUGUUCUGGAUUAUUAAUUUUAAAAGAAUACAUAAGUCUUCAAAAACAAAAGGCCCAAAUUCUUUCAAAGAAUAUUCAAAUUUUAAAAGAAUCUGCAGGGGUCAAUUCAUCUGGAAAGUUAUGGUGUAGAAAAGAAGAAAGAAAAGCCAAGAGAUUUUGAAAAUUGGAGAAAGGACAGGGCCAAAAUUAAUUGCAGAAGAGAUUUGAAAAGAGUGGUAGCAGAAUACAAAAUAUUGCAAAGCAGAAAUGAGAUAGAUUAGAGGAACUCAUAAAAAGAAGAUGACGUCAGUGAAGUUUUAGGUGGGAAACACUCAUUAAAGAAGAUACCUUCUCAGACAAUGUUUUGUUAACUCGUGGACUUCAUUCCUUCAGAAAGUCAUUGAGGUCCAAAAACUGGGCAGAUUUCCAAAGGAGUUGCUUACAUGCUUAAUAAUACAAGCUCAAAUAGUUGUACCUGCUCACAGUGCAGUUUAAAACCUCUCAACCUCUGCUUCAAGAUUUAAAUCAGAAUUACCUGUAAGAACUCCAGAAGAAAGGUAAUUCAAGGGCACAUUUUGUUUUAUCUACAAUUGUCCAAUGAAAUGUUUGGCACUGAUCAGGACAGAGGCAGAAUUAGUUUGAUCCCAGGGAAGAAUCUCUGUUCCUGUAUGCCCCAGACACCAUCCCAUGUCAUGUAACUGUUGACUGAGUCCAACACAGGCUAAACCUCUGGUGUGACUGAAGUGACUAAAUACAAGCUGUUUUAAAAAUCAGAUUGUUUUGAAGUUAAGCAUAUUGCAGAGACCACAGCACAUUUUAAAUUGCACAAUCAUGUAUCUAGUACUGAACUUUUAAGUUCUAGGAGCUUUGGCUUAAAGCUGUGGGGCUUUUGAGGCUUCGCGCAAUAUGUGCAACAACUUGUGCUUCUCUCAACAAGAAACUAGCAAAUUACAUUUGCAAGGCUCUCUGUACAAAAAAGAGUAACAAAAACAGCAGAAACAAUUCCUGGGAAGCCAAAAGGACAUUAGCAACAUUAAAAACAAUCUGCUGUUUAAGGUUAAUAGAACCGCUAGUUUUUGUCUAAAGGCUGAGAAAUAUUUUUGGAGGGCAGUUUCCUGGAAAGUUGAG